This 1092-nucleotide long non-coding RNA is filed under the name Drosophila melanogaster (fruit fly). RNAcentral describes it as "long non-coding RNA:CR43174 (Dmel_CR43174)". The record is from RNAcentral. Lineage: Eukaryota; Metazoa; Arthropoda; Insecta; Diptera; Drosophilidae.
AAAAACAGACAACGAAACUGUGAAGUAAACAUUUUCGUCGGGUUCUGGUCAUGUGCUCGCUGUGUGGUUCCCGAUUCCAGGGAAUAUUACGAACUUAACACUUGGUCAGUCCAUUGGCCCAUGUGCAGCGUGGGAAAUUUGGAAGCAGUUCGUAGUCCGGAAUGAAAUUAAAUGUGGGUCAAAUUCAGUUUCAUUAGAACUCGCCAGUGUCGCUAGGCGAUUGAGUUAGAUAAGGAGUGAAGUAAAGGCGGGGUAUCCAAAUGAAUAUGACUUCCUUAUCCAAGACAGAUGGAAUUCCACUGAAAGUGAAGCAGACAGGACCAAUUUACAACCGAGCUAUUCACUACGCCAUUGUCCACGCUUUGGAACUCCAGGACGGGUAUUGUUGAAUGAGCGUAGGAGUCGCACUCACCGAAAACCCAAGAACCCAGAAAACGGAUGGGGCCGAGUUGGUGUCUCGAAUUCCCGAAUGAGCGCCACGUGUAAAUAAGCAAUCAAGCAAGUCGAGCACCACCGCCCACCUAUCCUGCACCCACGUGGCACGUGGCAGAUAACGGGACAGGAACGGAAAUAGGGAUGUGGGUGGAGAGGGAUUGGUAGUGUGAUGUGGAUGGGUCCGGGUUUGAGUCCCGGUCUGGGGACUGCCAGUUGGUCCCAGCUGAAACCACCAGGCAUGCAAUGUUAUUGCCAAGGACAUUUCAAUACAAACCACGCGUCGUAUCUCGUCGUCGCUGUCGUCGAACCCCGAAAGUCCUCAACCCAAUUUGUUUGCUAAGCUUUGGGCGUCCUUUGCUCCUCGUUUCUGCUCUCCCAGGAUGCUGCGGCGUUGCCUUUGACCUUUCUGAAGGAGAUUUCCAGAGCACUCGAUGUGGCUGCUCUGCUGAUUGCACAAGGAUGAAUGGAAUAUCCACAGGGGAUAAAUUGGGCUAAUCUCUGGAAAUAGAAACUUAACAUCUUGAACUAGAAGAACUGCUAGUAAAUUCAGUUAAAUAUUUAGCAAAGCAAAAGUUUUGAAUUGUUGCUUUUUCAUAUAUAAAUCUCUAGUAUAUGAUAUGAUUGGAAUAAAAAUAAAAUAAAUAGCAAAAAUUAAAU